AUGAAGCCUAGCGAUUGUAAAGUUAGUGGCGGACGGGUGAGUAACGCGUGGGUAACCUGCCUCAUACAGGGGAAUAGCAGCUGGAAACGGCUGAUAAAACCGCAUAAGCGCACAGUGCCGCAUGGCACAGUGUGAAAAACUCCGGUGGUAUGAGAUGGACCCGCGUCUGAUUAGCUGGUUGGCGGGGUAACGGCCCACCAAGGCGACGAUCAGUAGCCGGCCUGAGAGGGUGAUCGGCCACAUUGGGACUGAGACACGGCCCAAACUCC
This 269-nucleotide ribosomal RNA is filed under the name uncultured Lachnospiraceae bacterium. RNAcentral's name for it is "partial 16S ribosomal RNA". It matches the Rfam family "Bacterial small subunit ribosomal RNA", at positions 59 to 339 of the family's 1533-position model. The record is from RNAcentral. Lineage: Bacteria; Bacillati; Bacillota; Clostridia; Lachnospirales; Lachnospiraceae.